Molecule: non-coding RNA, 526 nt
Organism: Pogona vitticeps (central bearded dragon)
Lineage: Eukaryota; Metazoa; Chordata; Lepidosauria; Squamata; Agamidae
Source: RefSeq, a predicted model, not a curated record
CUUCCUAUCACUCCUUUUUGCUGUGGUUUUGUGCCAUCAAUUGGAACGGACUUAUAGUGACCCCGACAGGGCUUUAAAGAGAGUACAAAAUCCAAAAUAUAAUUUGCAGAACAUAGUGGGUCAAUUCUGAGAUAGCACUGUGACUCUCACAGCAGCCAGGACAUGCUGAGCUCCUGCCCUUAAGAUGACCCCAACAUUACGACCAGCAUAAGGAACUGAUUCUGAGGGCAGAGGUUCAGCAGCACUAAGGAAACUGAUGGACCCUGAUGUGGCAAGAAAGGAGGCAGGAGCAGACUGACUAGACAUGGCAUGAGGCUGAUGUGAAGCAGUGCCCCUUUUUCCAGAUGAAGCAGCUGCCACUGGUUCAAACCCAUCCUUUAUUUCGGUGCUAGAUGCUUUUGGGGAUUGUGCCCAACACACCAAAUUAACAACAUGUGUAUACAUGAGUGAGGGACUGGAAGUGCUCUGGAAAAUAUGGGGCACAUUGAAAAAGAUCCUUAUAAAAUAUUUUCUCUUUUGGAAUGAG